Molecule: ribosomal RNA, 735 nt
Filed under: uncultured Staphylococcus sp.
Lineage: Bacteria; Bacillati; Bacillota; Bacilli; Caryophanales; Staphylococcaceae
Description: bacterial SSU rRNA
Rfam family: Bacterial small subunit ribosomal RNA
Source: RNAcentral
UCGAGCGAACGGACGAGAAGCUUGCUUCUCUGAUGUUAGCGGCGGACGGGUGAGUAACACGUGGAUAACCUACCUAUAAGACUGGGAUAACUUCGGGAAACCGGAGCUAAUACCGGAUAAUAUUUUGAACCGCAUGGUUCAAAAGUGAAAGACGGUCUUGCUGUCACUUAUAGAUGGAUCCGCGCUGCAUUAGCCAGUUGGUAAGGUAACGGCUUACCAAGGCAACGAUGCAUAGCCGACCUGAGAGGGUGAUCGGCCACACUGGAACUGAGACACGGUCCAGACUCCUACGGGAGGCAGCAGUAGGGAAUCUUCCGCAAUGGGCGAAAGCCUGACGGAGCAACGCCGCGUGAGUGAUGAAGGUCUUCGGAUCGUAAAACUCUGUUAUUAGGGAAGAACAUAUGUGUAAGUAACUGUGCACAUCUUGACGGUACCUAAUCAGAAAGCCACGGCUAACUACGUGCCAGCAGCCGCGGUAAUACGUAGGUGGCAAGCGUUAUCCGGAAUUAUUGGGCGUAAAGCGCGCGUAGGCGGUUUUUUAAGUCUGAUGUGAAAGCCCACGGCUCAACCGUGGAGGGUCAUUGGAAACUGGAAAACUUGAGUGCAGAAGAGGGAAGUGGAAUUCCAUGUGUAGCGGUGAAAUGCGCAGAGAUAUGGAGGAACACCAGUGGCGAAGGCGACUUUCUGGUCUGUAACUGACGCUGAUGUGCGAAAGCGUGGGGAUCAAACAGGAUU